Long non-coding RNA from Prunus persica (peach), 569 nucleotides. RefSeq lists it as uncharacterized. The record is from RefSeq and is a predicted model, not a curated record. NCBI's taxonomy places the organism in Eukaryota, Viridiplantae, Streptophyta, Magnoliopsida, Rosales, Rosaceae. The transcript has 3 exons.
UAAUCCCGGAUCUCAUUUGAAUGGAACCUUGCUUGCAAACAACGCUUCCUGCAAGGUAUUUGGCGAAGCUGUUCUUGAGGUUGGUUUAGAUGACUGUGAUGCCUGUGGAAUUGAAUCAAAGAGUUCCAAAGUAGCAGCAGCAAUGCAUGAUGGCAAUCUUUAGUUCCGGUAUGCAUUCCUUAGGAACCAAUGCAUACUGGUUCUCCAUUUCCUGGGCUAGAAUUCUACCUGAUGGGAUGCUCGGCUCAGUCAAUCCAAGAGGGAUCAUCUUUUAUAAUAAAUUUAUAGACCAUCUUCUAAGCAAAGGUAGCUGUGCAUACAUGAGCACUCGAUUUACUAAGAAAGUAGUAAGUUAGUAGCCAAAUUAAACAACGUUUAGUCAUCUAAGUCUGCUACCACGGAGGAAUAGAGCCAUUUGUGACACUUCACCACAAUGACCUGCCCCAAGUACUAGAACAAAGAGACGGGGGUUGGCUCAGUCCGCUAUUAAGGGAAGAGUUUGCACAUUUUGCCUCCAUAUGCUUUGAGAGGAAAAGGCUGACUACUUAAAAAUGGAAGUUGCAGUGACC